This 1411-nucleotide ribosomal RNA is filed under the name Klebsiella ornithinolytica. RNAcentral's name for it is "Raoultella ornithinolytica partial 23S ribosomal RNA". It matches the Rfam family "Bacterial large subunit ribosomal RNA", at positions 1567 to 2925 of the family's 2925-position model. Lineage: Bacteria; Pseudomonadati; Pseudomonadota; Gammaproteobacteria; Enterobacterales; Enterobacteriaceae. The record is from RNAcentral.
UGACGAGGCACUACGGUGCUGAAGUAACAAAUGCCCUGCUUCCAGGAAAAGCCUCUAAGCAUCAGGUAACAUCAAAUCGUACCCCAAACCGACACAGGUGGUCAGGUAGAGAAUACCAAGGCGCUUGAGAGAACUCGGGUGAAGGAACUAGGCAAAAUGGUGCCGUAACUUCGGGAGAAGGCACGCUGAUGGUAAGUGAAACGACUUGCUCGUGGAGCUGAAAUCAGUCGAAGAUACCAGCUGGCUGCAACUGUUUAUUAAAAACACAGCACUGUGCAAACACGAAAGUGGACGUAUACGGUGUGACGCCUGCCCGGUGCCGGAAGGUUAAUUGAUGGGGUUAUCCGUAAGGAGAAGCUCUUGAUCGAAGCCCCGGUAAACGGCGGCCGUAACUAUAACGGUCCUAAGGUAGCGAAAUUCCUUGUCGGGUAAGUUCCGACCUGCACGAAUGGCGUAAUGAUGGCCAGGCUGUCUCCACCCGAGACUCAGUGAAAUUGAACUCGCUGUGAAGAUGCAGUGUACCCGCGGCAAGACGGAAAGACCCCGUGAACCUUUACUAUAGCUUGACACUGAACAUUGAGCCUUGAUGUGUAGGAUAGGUGGGAGGCUUUGAAGCGUGGACGCCAGUCUGCGUGGAGCCAACCUUGAAAUACCACCCUUUAAUGUUUGAUGUUCUAACGUAGACCCGUAAUCCGGGUUGCGGACAGUGUCUGGUGGGUAGUUUGACUGGGGCGGUCUCCUCCCAAAGAGUAACGGAGGAGCACGAAGGUUAGCUAAUCCUGGUCGGACAUCAGGAGGUUAGUGCAAUGGCAUAAGCUAGCUUGACUGCGAGCGUGACGGCGCGAGCAGGUGCGAAAGCAGGUCAUAGUGAUCCGGUGGUUCUGAAUGGAAGGGCCAUCGCUCAACGGAUAAAAGGUACUCCGGGGAUAACAGGCUGAUACCGCCCAAGAGUUCAUAUCGACGGCGGUGUUUGGCACCUCGAUGUCGGCUCAUCACAUCCUGGGGCUGAAGUAGGUCCCAAGGGUACGGCUGUUCGCCGUUUAAAGUGGUACGCGAGCUGGGUUUAGAACGUCGUGAGACAGUUCGGUCCCUAUCUGCCGUGGGCGCUGGAGAAUUGAGGGGGGCUGCUCCUAGUACGAGAGGACCGGAGUGGACGCAUCACUGGUGUUCGGGUUGUCAUGCCAAUGGCAUUGCCCGGUAGCUAAAUGCGGAAAAGAUAAGUGCUGAAAGCAUCUAAGCACGAAACUUGCCCCGAGAUGAGUUCUCCCUGACUCCCUGAGAGUCCUGAAGGAACGUUGAAGACGACGACGUUGAUAGGUCGGGUGUGUAAGCGUAGCGAUACGUUGAGCUAACCGAUACUAAUGAACCGUGAGGCUUAACCUUACAACGCCAAAGCUGUUUGGUGUGGUGA